Molecule: ribosomal RNA, 496 nt
Filed under: uncultured bacterium
Lineage: Bacteria
Description: partial 16S ribosomal RNA
Rfam family: Bacterial small subunit ribosomal RNA
Source: RNAcentral
GAUGAACGCUGGCGGCGUGCCUAAUACAUGCAAGUCGAGCGAGCGGACGAGAAGCUUGCUUCUCUGAUGUUAGCGGCGGACGGGUGAGUAACACGUGGAUAACCUACCUAUAAGACUGGGAUAACUUCGGGAAACCGUAGCUAAUACCGGAUAAUAUUUUGAACCGCAUGGUUCAAAAGUGAAAGACGGUCUUGCUGUCACUUAUAGAUGGAUCCGCGCUGCAUUAGCUAGUUGGUAAGGUAACGGCUUACCAAGGCAACGAUGCAUAGCCGACCUGAGAGGGUGAUCGGCCACACUGGAACUGAGACACGGUCCAGACUCCUACGGGAGGCAGCAGUAGGGAAUCUUCCGCAAUGGGCGAAAGCCUGACGGAGCAACGCCGCGUGAGUGAUGAAGGUCUUCGGAUCGUAAAACUCUGUUAUUAGGGAAGAACAUAUGUGUAAGUAACUGUGCACAUCUUGACGGUACCUAAGCAGAAAGCCACGGCUAACUACGU